Molecule: long non-coding RNA, 595 nt
Organism: Mercenaria mercenaria
Lineage: Eukaryota; Metazoa; Mollusca; Bivalvia; Venerida; Veneridae
Exons: 2
Source: RefSeq, a predicted model, not a curated record
UUAGCCGUGAACCCCAUGAAAUUUAGUAUUUGGCGGGACAUUAUCCUUUAAAUAGACUGGACUAGAUAUGCCUUGCGCACACCACCUUACGACUUUAUAGACGAAUCUAUGUCUGAAUUAUUUUCUUGCUAGAAAUUUAUGCUCGAUCGAGCUUCUUCCGCCAGACGAUUUUACCUGGUGAUGUCAUAACCCGGAAGUACAAUGCCCGAGGUUCACUUGUCUUCACUCGCCUGGAUGUGAUAUUCCCAGCGCAGAGCUUUCGUCCCAUGGUUGUGCCGUAAACCGCAAAGACGAUGAUUUUUGUUAUCCUCUGAAGUCAGCUCAGGGAUGCAAUCACCUACCACCAUAGGGAGCCAACACGGAAUCAACGUAUUCACGGUUUAAAGGGACUGAAUUUAGAGAUCUGUUUUGUUUGUGCUACUUAUAAGUUCACAAUUACAUUAAAGACCUGUGUCACGUCAGAUUAGAAUGGACUAUAAGAACUUUUGUAUCUAGAGAUACUGAACUUUUUUUUUCUUUCUUAUAAUCAGUUUUUUUUUCUUUUCAUAUCUAUUCAUUGUUAAUAAUCAUCUUUUGUAAAUAAAUUUGUAAAUAU